This 549-nucleotide ribosomal RNA is filed under the name uncultured bacterium. Its description in RNAcentral is "bacterial SSU rRNA". It matches the Rfam family "Bacterial small subunit ribosomal RNA", at positions 777 to 1323 of the family's 1533-position model. The record is from RNAcentral.
AAUAGAUACCCUGGUAGUCCACGCCGUAAACGGUGGGUGCUAGGUGUGGGGAACUUUCCACGUUCUCCCGUGCCGCAGCUAACGCAUUAAACACCCCGCCUGGGGAGUACGGCCGCAAGGCUAAAACUCAAAGGAAUUGACGGGGGGCCCGCACAAGCGGCGGAGCAUGCGGUUUAAUUCGAUGCAACGCGAAGAACCUUACCAAGGCUUGACAUAUAGGGAAAUCCGGCAGAGAUGUCGGGUCCGCAAGGGUCCUAUACAGGUGGUGCAUGGCUGUCGUCAGCUCGUGUCGUGAGAUGUUGGGUUAAGUCCCGCAACGAGCGCAACCCUCGUUCUAUGUUGCCAGCGGAUAAUGCCGGGGACUCAUAGGAGACUGCCGGGGUCAACUCGGAGGAAGGUGGGGACGACGUCAAGUCAUCAUGCCCCUUAUGGUCUUGGGCUACACGCAUGCUACAAUGGCCGGUACAAAGGGCUGCGAUACCGUAAGGUGGAGCGAAUCCCAUAAAGCCGGUCUCAGUUCGGAUCGGGGUCUGCAACUCGACCCCGUGU